GCCGACCUGAGAAGGUGAUCGGCCACACUGGGACUGAGACACGGCCCAGAUUCCUACGGGAGGCAGCAGUAGGGAAUCUUCGGCAAUGGGGGCAACCCUGACCGAGCAACGCCGCGUGAGUGAAGAAGGUUUUCGGAUCGUAAAGCUCUGUUGUUAGAGAAGAAUGGAAGUAGGAGUGGAAAGUCUACUUCGUGACGGUAACUAACCAGAAAGGGACGGCUAACUACGUGCCAGCAGCCGCGGUAAUACGUAGGUCCCGAGCGUUGUCCGGAUUUAUUGGGCGUAAAGCGAGCGCAGGCGGUUCUAUAAGUCUGAAGUUAAAGGCAGUGGCUCAACCAUUGUUCGCUUUGGAAACUGUAGAACUUGAGUGCAGAAGGGGAGAGUGGAAUUCCAUGUGUAGCGGUGAAAUGCGUAGAUAUAUGGAGGAACACCGGUGGCGAAAGCGGCUCUCUGGUCUGUAACUGACGCUGAGGCUCGAAAGCGUGGGGAGCAAACAGGAUUAGAUACCCUGGUAGUCCACGCCGUAAACGAUGAGUGCUAGGUGUUAGGCCCUUUCCGGGGCUUAGUGCCGCAGCUAACGCAUUAAGCACUCCGCCUGGGGAGUACGACCGCAAGGUUGAAACUCAAAGGAAUUGACGGGGGCCCGCACAAGCGGUGGAGCAUGUGGUUUAAUUCGAAGCAACGCGAAGAACCUUACCAGGUCUUGACAUCCCGAUGCCCGCUCUAGAGAUAGAGUUUUACUUCGGUACAUCGGAGACAGGUGGUGCAUGGUUGUCGUCAGCUCGUGUCGUGAGAUGUUGGGUUAAGUCCCGCAACGAGCGCAACCCCUAUUGUUAGUUGCCAUCAUUCAGUUGGGCACUCUAGCAAGACUGCCGGUAAUAAACCGGAGGAAGGUGGGGAUGACGUCAAAUCAUCAUGCCCCUUAUGACCUGGGCUACACACGUGCUACAAUGGUUGGUACAACGAGUCGCAAGUCGGUGACGACAAGCUAAUCUCUUAAAGCCAAUCUCAGUUCGGAUUGUAGGCUGCAACUCGCCUACAUGAAGUCGGAAUCGCUAGUAAUCGCGGAUCAGCACGCCGCGGUGAAUACGUUCCCGGGCCUUGUACACACCGCCCGUCACACCACGAGAGUUUGUAACACCCGAAGUCGGUGAGGUAAC
This 1160-nucleotide ribosomal RNA is filed under the name Streptococcus urinalis. Its description in RNAcentral is "bacterial SSU rRNA". It matches the Rfam family "Bacterial small subunit ribosomal RNA", at positions 286 to 1439 of the family's 1533-position model. The record is from RNAcentral. Lineage: Bacteria; Bacillati; Bacillota; Bacilli; Lactobacillales; Streptococcaceae.